CCGCAACGGUUCCUCCCAGGAGGAUUAAAAGGGAACCGGGUGAGAGUCCCGGACAGUUCCCGCUGCUGUGAGUUCCUAUGAUGUUCCGGCACUUUUGCCACUGAGACUGCGGAAGAUUGACCGUCUACGCACCUCGGGAAGGCGUCCGGAGCGGAACGAGUCAGAAGACCUGCCUUGCGAC
This 181-nucleotide non-coding RNA is filed under the name human gut metagenome. The record is from RNAcentral.